AAAAAGCCCACAGAAAAUGAAAAGCCCACAUGCUUGUCCAUUGCUGCAGGAUGGGGGAAACAGCAAACACCAUUCGCUCACUCGAGUUAGAUAAACACUGAGCGAAAAGUCACUGGAGCCCAAGGACUGUGCGGGGUCAGUGCUGCCGAUACAAGAACCGCAGCCCUCCAGCUCGGCUCCCUCAACGGCCUGCGCUGCAGCCACACUGGCCUCCUUUCAGGUGUCUGUCUCUCCUGCCAGAGUGUAUACACCAGUUGGACAAGGACGCUGCCUUAUUC
Molecule: long non-coding RNA, 278 nt
Filed under: Homo sapiens (human)
Lineage: Eukaryota; Metazoa; Chordata; Mammalia; Primates; Hominidae
Description: non-protein coding lnc-KLRG1-7:1
Source: RNAcentral